This 301-nucleotide ribosomal RNA is filed under the name uncultured bacterium. RNAcentral's name for it is "partial 16S ribosomal RNA". It matches the Rfam family "Bacterial small subunit ribosomal RNA", at positions 509 to 807 of the family's 1533-position model. The record is from RNAcentral.
CAGCCGCCGCGGUAAUACGUAGGUGGCAAGCGUUGUCCGGAAUUAUUGGGCGUAAAGGGCUCGCAGGCGGUUUCUUAAGUCUGAUGUGAAAGCCCCCGGCUCAACCGGGGAUGGUCAUUGGAAACUGGGAAACUUGAGUGCAGAAGAGGAGAGUGGAAUUCCACGUGUAGCGGUGAAAUGCGUAGAGAUGUGGAGGAACACCAGUGGCGAAGGCGACUCUCUGGUCUGUAACUGACGCUGAGGAGCGAAAGCGUGGGGAGCGAACAGGAUUAGAUACCCCUGUAGUCCCUGUCUCUUAUAC